This is a long non-coding RNA of Populus trichocarpa (black cottonwood), 1716 nucleotides long. RefSeq lists it as uncharacterized. The transcript is spliced from 2 exons. The record is from RefSeq and is a predicted model, not a curated record. NCBI's taxonomy places the organism in Eukaryota, Viridiplantae, Streptophyta, Magnoliopsida, Malpighiales, Salicaceae.
AAUGCUCAACUAAAGCUUUUUUAAAAAAAUAUUUUAAUAUAUUUUAAAAUAAAAAAUACCCUGUAUCACAAUAUCAAACAUUAUACUUUGCACUAUCUCACAAAGUAAUGCUUAACUAAAGCUUUUUUAAAAAAUUAUUUUAAUAUAUUUUUAAAUAAAAAAUAUCCUGCAUCACAAUAUCAAACACGAUUAUUAACAAGAAGCUUAUUUUUUAGCAUAAUUUUAUUUUAGUUUUUUCUUGUUGUGAUCUCAUUAUUUCCUCUCGAAUCCUUAUAAAUGUUAUGAUUUCACAUUAAAAGACGUAAAGACCUAAAAAGUCUCAAAAAAAUGGAUUAAAAUAGCAAUUUAUUAAAUUGUUUGGAGUAACAUUCGAAACUUUAUGAAAAUUAGAAGAAUAACAUCGGGUUUUCACCAAGAUACAUUACAUUAAACAGUGUUUCCUAAUCUCUUUUAAAAUAUUAAAAAGAAUAAAAAAAUAUUGUAAAGAUGGAUGCAGGAAAGAGGGAAGGAUAAAGGAUUGGGACAGAAUUUAUCAACAAAGGAAGCGUUGGGACAAUUCUGCAUGAAUGAAGAAACAGAAUCAAGACAUAAUCCAGGGAACAAGAGCUCCCUAAAUUAAAUUUGAUGAUGGAUAAUUAGAUAUACGGGUGGUUUCUAUUUCUUUUGUCAUGUUCAUAGAAAUAGAAUUUUUUUGAAUGAUCAGCUAUACAGUAAUCACAACUGACUCUAGGAUUUAUGAGGAAAGAUUUUGGAUGCAACGAACAUAAGUAGCCUAGAUGAGUAACAUGGUUUUGUUAGAAGUUGGAAACUUAUAGCACCUUUAAUCAUGUUUGAACUGCUUUUGCACCUUUAGAUAUGGUUGAGUAGUCUAACAUGGAUUAUUCGUAAGCUUAAUGUUUUUUAUGGUAUACUUUUCCUGGUUGCUUAUUUGAUACAAGUUUCUUUUUUAUGUGAUUGGUGGAUGGGUUCCAGCAGAGUGUUAAAGUUUUGCAGGCAAAAUCUAUCUGUUGUGCCCUUGAUAUUUUUCAGUAGCCACCUCAUACUGAAAGAGAAAACCAUUAAUGCUGGCUGUCGAACUUUAAACUCUCCUUUUCUUCACAAAGUUUGAUCUGAAGGUUCUGGGUUUGAAAGAAUUUUUUAUUUCACAGAUUCCACACUUGAGACCUGCUGAAUACAAGAGGGUCUAGAUUGUCCAGGAACCACAGGACUGUGAAUCGUGUCUAUGGUGGUGUGUUGUCGGGAGGUGCUGUUAAAGAGAGGAUUAUUCGAGCCUUCCUGGUGGAGGAGCAAAAUGAUUGUGAAGAAGGUCUUGAAGAUUCAAAAGGCGAAGGAAAAACAAGCCUCAAAGAGCUAAAAGAGAGGUUGGUAAAAUGAAGUCUUCCAAGCGACAUGAUUGCUUGAGCGAAAUUCAACUGAUUAAUCCAAUGAAAUAUCGAAUUGCUUUUGAAUAUUUUGAUUUCAGCUUGUUAGAUAUAAUUUCGGUACCCUGUUUCAUGACAAAUACAAAUGAAUACCUCUGCCUUUUAACAUUCUAGUGUUAUCCACUGAAGUGGGCAACACCACCUGAUCUUUCUCAGGUUGGGAUCUCUAAGUGCUUCCAAUCCGCAUGAUUUUUUUUCUUCUUUUUAUAAGAACUUGCUGCCAUAUCCAGUUGUGCAGUGGUUUGCUUGUAGUUUGUUUCACACAAAAUGGCUCGUCUCUGCUGCUUUGUUUGUC